UUCCCAGCAGCUCCUAACCCUACCUCCUCGUGGUACUGGUCGGGUUACGAGUAACCUUAGGGAAGAUCUGGUAACCAACCCCGGUGGGAACUUUGGUCGUAUGCUGACAGGGAAGG
Molecule: ribozyme, 116 nt
Filed under: Aedes aegypti (yellow fever mosquito)
Lineage: Eukaryota; Metazoa; Arthropoda; Insecta; Diptera; Culicidae
Description: drz-agam-1 ribozyme
Rfam family: drz-agam-1 ribozyme
Source: Rfam by way of RNAcentral